UCGAGAAUCUUCCGCAAUGGACGAAAGUCUGACGGAGCGACGCCGCGUGGUGGAUGAAGUCCUUAGGGACGUAAACACCUUUUAUGAGGGAGAAAGUAUAUUGAUGUUACCUCAUGAAUAAGGGGCUCCCAACUCUGUGCCAGCAGGAGCGGUAAUACAGAGGCCCCAAGCAUUAUCCGGAUUCACUGGGCGUAAAGGGUGCGUAGGCGGUUUUAUUAGUCAGGUGUUAAAUCCUCGGGCUCAACCCGAGAAUCGCAUUUGAAACGGUAAAACUAGAAGAAGUAAGAGGUGAACAGAACUCUCGGUGUAGGGGUGAAAUCCGUUGAUAUCGAGGGGAAUACCAAAUGCGAAGGCAGUUCACUGGUACUUUCUUGACGCUGAGGCACGAAAGCGUGGGUAG
This 400-nucleotide ribosomal RNA is filed under the name uncultured bacterium. RNAcentral describes it as "bacterial SSU rRNA". It matches the Rfam family "Bacterial small subunit ribosomal RNA", at positions 355 to 768 of the family's 1533-position model. The record is from RNAcentral.